Molecule: ribosomal RNA, 497 nt
Filed under: uncultured bacterium
Lineage: Bacteria
Description: partial 16S ribosomal RNA
Rfam family: Bacterial small subunit ribosomal RNA
Source: RNAcentral
GAUGAACGCUGGCGGCGUGCCUAAUACAUGCAAGUCGAGCGAACGGACGAGAAGCUUGCUUCUCUGAUGUUAGCGGCGGACGGGUGAGUAACACGUGGAUAACCUACCUAUAAGACUGGGAUCACUUCGGGAAACCGGAGCUAAUACCGGAUGAUAUUUUGCACCGCAUGGUUCAAAAGUGAAAGACGGUCUUGCUGUCACUUAUAGCUGGAUCCGCGCUGCAUUAGCUAGUUGGUAAGGUAACGGCUUACCAAGGCAACGAGGCAUAGCCGACCUGAGAGGGUGAUCGGCCACACUGGAACGGAGACACGGUCCAGACUCCUACGGGAGGCAGCAGUAGGGAAUCUUCCGCAAUGGGCGAAAGCCUGACGGAGCAACGCCGCGUGAGUGAUGAAGGUCUUCGGAUCGUAAAACUCUGUUAUUAGGUAAGAACAUAUGUGUAAGUAACUGUGCACAUCUUGACGGUACCUAAUCAGAAAGCCACGGCUAACUACGUG